GACGAACGCUGGCGGCGUGCUUAACACAUGCAAGUCGAACGGAAAGGCCCUGCUUGCAGGGUACUCGAGUGGCGAACGGGUGAGUAACACGUGGGUGAUCUGCCCUGCACUUCGGGAUAAGCCUGGGAAACUGGGUCUAAUACCGGAUAGGAGCCAUUUUUAGUGUGAUGGUUGGAAAGUUUUUUCGGUGUAGGAUGAGCUCGCGGCCUAUCAGCUUGUUGGUGGGGUAAUGGCCUACCAAGGCGGCGACGGGUAGCCGGCCUGAGAGGGUGGACGGCCACAUUGGGACUGAGAUACGGCCCAGACUCCUACGGGAGGCAGCAGUGGGGAAUAUUGCACAAUGGGCGCAAGCCUGAUGCAGCGACGCCGCGUGGGGGAUGACGGCCUUCGGGUUGUAAACUCUUUUCGCUAGGGACGAAGCUUUUUGUGACGGUACCUAGAGAAGAAGCACCGGCUAACUACGUG
This 465-nucleotide ribosomal RNA is filed under the name uncultured bacterium. RNAcentral's name for it is "partial 16S ribosomal RNA". It matches the Rfam family "Bacterial small subunit ribosomal RNA", at positions 28 to 507 of the family's 1533-position model. The record is from RNAcentral.